Molecule: non-coding RNA, 359 nt
Organism: Ciona intestinalis (vase tunicate)
Lineage: Eukaryota; Metazoa; Chordata; Ascidiacea; Phlebobranchia; Cionidae
Source: RefSeq, a predicted model, not a curated record
UAGUUUAACCUUUACGUGCGUUGUAUUUAGGCAUCAAAGUCUUGACUUUACUUGCCUCGUAGUUUUUUGACCUUUACGUGCGUCUUAGUUUAACGUCAUGUGCGUCAUAGUUUAGCCUUUACCUGCGUCAGGGCUUUAUAGUUUAACCUUUGUGUGAGUCGUAUUUAUGCGUUGUAGUUGUAGUUUGACCUUUACAUGCAGGGGCGCAACCAGGGGGGCUGUUUUGCUGUCAUGACAGUCCCCUUUUCCGCAGACACGCACGCAGCCAGAAAGUGCUAAGACGCACACACACGCGUUGCAUUUAAUAUUACAUUCGUUCGCUUAAAAUUGGAAUAACUUUUCGUUCAAUUGUUACGUCA